AUAUACACAUAUAUAUAUAGUAACUGCCAGAUACACUCGAGAAGGAAGCAAGAGCCAGAGGGUUAAGAGAGCAUUACUGCCAACUGCAUUGUUACACUCAAGCACUCAGAGGCUCUGUUAGUGAUGGCAAGUGAAAGCCCUUCAGAGGAGUUGUUCUCUGGCCUGGUGCAAAGGUCUCAGUAUUGUUUUUAGACAGGUAAGAAAACAAUGGAAGGAAAGGAAACCUAUUCCCAACCCACCUGUAUCCUAUGCCAUGUGCUACAGAGGGAAGGAAAUCAGCAUUUUAAUGUUUAUGGUCCAACAGUCGUUAUGAAGGAAACUCCCUCCUUUCUCAACAGAUCUGAAUUCACCCCACAAUUAUGACUCUGCUGUGGAUGUUUCCAGAGCACAGAGCUCCUCAAACAGCUUUUCAGACUGUGCCAAUGCCAAUAAUGACAUGCCAAUAGCUGAAGUCCAACCCAGAACAUGAGUAGAACACUGAUUAAAACAUUCCCAGAUUAAAACACUCUGGAAAAUAACUGUAGUUACUUUUUCUUACAGAAUUAUGCAUGUGCCUCUUCAGUGGAAUCCAUCAAACUACCAAUCUCCUGUCCUGCCCUUCCCCUGCUAAGGGAAUGCAGGUACUGGUACCAAGAAAUGCCAGUGUGAAGUCAGAGCAAUGACAAGUCACCAAGGAGCAGCUGCUGUCACUGGCAGCAGCCUGACAGCAGAGUUAUUGCCUCAACCUGCAGCUGUGCUCGUGCCAGCGAGGCCACAGCGAGUUUUGUUCCUCAAAAUCCACAGAAAAAAGAAGAGUUAAAUUAAUGCCCAGCCUAGGAGAUGCCACAAGCUGAAGGCAGUACCUUGGCCCAGAGAAGCCCACAGGAUUCAGCAGUGGCAGCAGUGGAGCCCAGGGAAGCAACGACAGCUGGCACAGCUCCUGCCAUGGUGGUUUUCCUGGGCACAACAAAUGUUGUCCAGAGCCACAAGAGAGAGCACAGAGCCCUACCAACACUGGGGGGUCCUACAGAGAAGCCUUCCAGCCCACUGGAGAGGAGCAAAUCAGCCACGUGUUUCAACAUCAGAACAAACCCACCCUUCAGUUUUCAAACCAGCUUUUGGCUGCCACGGUGACAAAAGAGAAAAGUGUCAGCAAGUGACAGCUCUCUGUAUAACCCGGUUCCAUCACAGCUCAAGCACCGAAUAUCAUCACUCUGUUACAGACCCUGCAGAUUUGAAAUCCAGCUCAUCCUCAAAAAUCUUUUUCCAUCUCUGUUGCAAAGACAAGAGCUGCUGAAAAUCGGGCUGUUCUGCUCUUUUCAAGUCAAUGGAGGAGCAUUUAGAGAGCUGCAAAGACAC
Molecule: long non-coding RNA, 1338 nt
Filed under: Manacus vitellinus (golden-collared manakin)
Lineage: Eukaryota; Metazoa; Chordata; Aves; Passeriformes; Pipridae
Description: lncRNA (ENSMVIG00005019006.1)
Source: RNAcentral